CGUCCGUAGCCGGUUUAGUAAAUGCCUGGGUAAAUCGUGUAGCUUAACUAUACGACUUCCGGGUAGGCUGCUAAACUUGAGACCGGGAGAGGCUAGAGGUACUCCUGGGGUAGAGGUGAAAUUCUGUAAUCCUAGGGGGACCACCAGUGGCGAAGGCGUCUAGCUAGAACGGGUCUGACGGUGAGGGACGAAGCCCUGGGGCACAAACCGGAUUAGAUACCCGGGUAGUCCAGGGUGUAAACGCUGCUUGCUUGAUGUUAGUUGGGCUCCGAGCCCAACUAGUGUCGGAGAGAAGUUGUUAAGCAAGCUGCCUGGGAAGUACGGUCGCAAGGCUGAAACUUAAAGGAAUUGGCGGGGGAGCACAGCAACGGGUGGAGCGUGCGGUUUAAUUGGAUUCAACGCCGGAAAACUCACCGGAGGCGACGGUUACAUGAAGGCCAGGCUGAUGACCUUGCCUGAUUUUCCGAGAGGUGGUGCAUGGCCGCCGUCAGUUCGUACCGUAAGGCGUUCUGUUAAGUCAGACAACGAACGAGACCCUCAUCUUUAAUUGCUACUGGUAAGUUCGCUUACUGGGCACAUUAGAGAAACCGCUGGCGAUAAGUCAGAGGAAGGCGAGGGCAACGGUAGGUCAGUAUGCCCUGAAUCCUCCGGGCUACACGCGCGCUACAAAGGCUAGGACAAUGAGCUUCAACACCGAGAGGUGAAGGUAAUCUCGAAACCUAGUCGUAGUUCGGAUUGAGGGUUGAAACUCACGCUCAUGAAGCUGGAAUCCGUAGUAAUCGCGGAUCAACAUCCCGCGGUGAAUAUGCCCCUGCUCC
This 818-nucleotide ribosomal RNA is filed under the name uncultured archaeon. RNAcentral describes it as "bacterial SSU rRNA". It matches the Rfam family "Archaeal small subunit ribosomal RNA", at positions 516 to 1336 of the family's 1478-position model. The record is from RNAcentral.